UACGUAGGGUGCGAGCGUUAAUCGGAAUUACUGGGCGUAAAGCGUGCGCAGGCGGUUUUGUAAGCCAGAUGUGAAAUCCCCGGGCUUAACCUGGGAAUGGCAUUUGGGACUGCAAGGCUGGAGUGUGGCAGAGGAGACUGGAAUUCCUGGUGUAGCAGUGAAAUGCGUAGAUAUCAGGAGGAAUACCGAUGGCGAAGGCAGGUCUCUGGGCUGACACUGACGCUCAUGCACGAAAGCGUGGGGGCAAACAGG
RNAcentral lists this ribosomal RNA (252 nucleotides) under uncultured bacterium. RNAcentral describes it as "partial 16S ribosomal RNA". It matches the Rfam family "Bacterial small subunit ribosomal RNA", at positions 524 to 776 of the family's 1533-position model. The record is from RNAcentral.